AAGAUUAAGCCAUGCAUGUCUAAGUAUAAGCACUUAUACCGUGAAACUGCGAAUGGCUCAUUAAAUCAGUUAUCGUUCAUUUGAUAGUACCUUACUACUUGGAUAACCGUGGUAAUUCUAGAGCUAAUACAUGCUAAAAACCCCGACUUCGGGAGGGGUGUAUUUAUUAGAUAAAAAACCAAUGCCCUUCGGGGCUCUUUGGUGAUUCAUGAUAACUUAACGGAUCGCAUGGCCUUGCGCCGGCGACGGUUCAUUCAAAUUUCUGCCCUAUCAACUUUCGAUGGUAAGGUAUUGGCUUACCAUGGUUUCAACGGGUAACGGGGAAUUAGGGUUCGAUUCCGGAGAGGGAGCCUGAGAAACGGCUACCACAUCCAAGGAAGGCAGCAGGCGCGCAAAUUACCCAAUCCCGACUCGGGGAGGUAGUGACAAUAAAUACUGAUACAGGGCUCUUUUGGGUCUUGUAAUCGGAAUGAGUACAAUUUAAACCCCUUAACGAGGAACAAUUGGAGGGCAAGUCUGGUGCCAGCAGCCGCGGUAAUUCCAGCUCCAAUAGCGUAUAUUAAAGUUGUUGCAGUUAAAAAGCUCGUAGUUGAACCUUGGGCCUGGCUGGCCGGUCCGCCUCACCGCGUGUACUGGUCCGGCCGGGCCUUUCCUUCUGGAGAGCCGCAUGCCCUUCACUGGGUGUGUUGGGGAACCAGGACUUUUACUUUGAAAAAAUUAGAGUGUUCAAAGCAGGCCUUUGCUCGAAUACGUUAGCAUGGAAUAAUAGAAUAGGACGUGCGGUCCUAUUUUGUUGGUUUCUAGGACCGCCGUAAUGAUUAAUAGGGAUAGUCGGGGGCAUCAGUAUUCAAUUGUCAGAGGUGAAAUUCUUGGAUUUAUUGAAGACUAACUACUGCGAAAGCAUUUGCCAAGGAUGUUUUCAUUAAUCAGUGAACGAAAGUUAGGGGAUCGAAGACGAUCAGAUACCGUCGUAGUCUUAACCGUAAACUAUGCCGACUAGGGAUCGGGCGAUGUUUUUAUCUUGACUCGCUCGGCACCUUACGAGAAAUCAAAGUUUUUGGGUUCU
Molecule: ribosomal RNA, 1066 nt
Filed under: Hermatomyces trangensis
Lineage: Eukaryota; Fungi; Ascomycota; Dothideomycetes; Pleosporales; Hermatomycetaceae
Description: SSU rRNA
Rfam family: Eukaryotic small subunit ribosomal RNA
Source: RNAcentral